This 250-nucleotide ribosomal RNA is filed under the name uncultured bacterium. Its description in RNAcentral is "partial 16S ribosomal RNA". It matches the Rfam family "Bacterial small subunit ribosomal RNA", at positions 524 to 773 of the family's 1533-position model. The record is from RNAcentral.
UACAGAGGGUGCAAGCGUUGUUCGGAAUUACUGGGCGUAAAGCGUGCGUAGGCGGUAUUGAGAGUCACGGGUGAAAGCCCCAGGCUUAACCUGGGAACUGCCUGUGAGACCUCAGUACUAGAGUGUGAGAGAGGAUUGUGGAAUUCCUGGUGUAGCGGUGAAAUGCGUAGAGAUCAGGAGGAACACCGGUGGCGAAGGCGACAAUCUGGCUCAUAACUGACGCUCAGGCACGAAAGCGUGGGUAGCAAAC